RNA transcript from Arachis stenosperma, 1884 nucleotides. RefSeq lists it as uncharacterized. The transcript is spliced from 5 exons. The record is from RefSeq and is a predicted model, not a curated record. NCBI's taxonomy places the organism in Eukaryota, Viridiplantae, Streptophyta, Magnoliopsida, Fabales, Fabaceae.
CAAGCAAUGAACCAAACCAAAGACGCUUAACUCGCGAGCGCACAUGGGUGGUACUCGGAAGCAGAGGGAACGGCGCUUGAAGCCAGCGCGUGAGAGGGGCUCACUUGCCCUUCUUCCAGGCGAACUGAUCCAGGAGAUCCUGUGGAGGAUUCCGGCGAAAGACGUGGUGGAACUUCGGUGCGUGUGUAAGUCAUGGAAAACCCUAAUUUCGUCGCCGCAAUUUUCGAAGGCGAUCAUCCAGCGUUCCUACGCCCACAUUGCCGGUUGCGCUUCCAGAGCCGCCAAAGUUAUGGACUCAAUCUCGUUGUUGCUCGCUUCUGUUUCUGACGGCAAUGCUACGGUUAAUGAUAUUUCGGAUGGCGUGAAGGCAAGCAUGGAAGUUGUCAACGCACUACCACUCUCUAAACCCUAAUCACGCCGUUGUUCCCUAACUCACCAGUCAGUCUCAGUGCCGUCGAGUUUCCUCCCCAUCAAGCCGUCGGUGCUGUGCCAAUUUCCCUACCAGACGCAUCGUUGAUGCUUUGCCACCAUCCCCACUCUCCCUCCCCUCCACGCUCCCAUGCACACAGGGGCGAAGCUAGGUGGUGGGAAAGGGGGGCGAUGGCUCCCCUAAUUUUAAUUUUUUACAUGUAAAUUAUAUGUAAAUUUUAGUUUAGCCCCCCUUAAAAUUUUAUUUUAGUCUUAGUUUAUUGGAUAAAUAUUUUUGGCCCCCUCUAAUAUUUUAUCUAGCUCCGCCCCUGCAUGCACAACGCCGUACCCCUGCUCGAAGUUGCGCCUCCGCCUUUCAUCGGUGCCAUAGAUUGAGCAAUAGGAAGAAGCGGCAUGUCAAAGGUGCCUGUACACCAGCCCUGAGUCGGUCCCAUCGCUGCCUAUAUUCCGCCGUCGCCGCCAACUAUAGCAACAUCAUUGACAAGAUUAUAAACCCACUUGAUUUGUGUUGCUGAAAAGUCUAGUCAGGUGAAAAAAAAAGUAAAUUAGUAGAGACGCGUUGUUCACCUUGUUACAUGAACGGUAUAAUGAACCACUUGGUAAAAAAUGCCGAAGCGAAGCUGGUGGAAGUAGAAGCUACAUGAUUCGGAUUCUUGAAGCGAAUCUUGCAUUGGUCUGUGAAACAGGAUAUUAUGGUUCAGCUAGAAAGGGCCUACGAUGUCUGAACAAGUACAUUAAAAGUAGAUGUCAGCAACAUUUGCAUUAACGCCGAGUUUAUUGGGCGGGUUUUAGACAUUCCUUCUAGUGGCAACGACUUCCCUGAAUUCAACAAAUAGAAUGCUGUCCAUGUAGCCAUCAAAGGACAAUUCCAGAGAAGAACGACCACCGAAUUGCGCAAUUUUGUCUACAGUUGCUCUAUGAAAACCGAAGCAGAUAGGAUGAAGUUCAUACGACAUCUUAGUGGUCUUAAAGAUGUUCUUGUGCUAAAAAACUCAACAAACAAUCUCGCCGUGACACUGAUCACGGACCCAAGUAGAUUCAAUUGGCCGUUGAAGACUUUCAAGUGGUUGGAAAACGCACUCGAAAAGUAUGAAGUUAAAAAGCACCAAACAUGCGAGGCAUGCAUGUUGGUGCUAUUGGUAUGUUACAUUAUUAAACUACUAGUAGAUGCAACAUACCAUUAUAUUGUAAACCAUAAUUUGUGAGCUUCUCUUUGGUAUUGGACUUCUAGCGACUGAAACAUAGUUUGCUCGAUGACUGUCAAGAAUCGUAGCCAUGGAUUACUGCAUAGAUUGCCGCUGAAUUCGAGAAGGCAACUAAUGUUCUUUUCCAGAUACCAACUUAAACGAGUUCUUCUUUAUACUGUACUAUGAUACCUUGCUUCCACAUGAAUAGUAUGAUUUUUAUAACUUGGACGUCUUUUUUCAUAUCUAAUUUGGAUUAUUAUUAAGUGAU